This 109-nucleotide non-coding RNA is filed under the name Paraburkholderia sabiae. RNAcentral's name for it is "ZMP-ZTP". It matches the Rfam family "ZMP/ZTP riboswitch aptamer (pfl RNA motif)". From Rfam's summary of the family: Previously known as pfl RNA. ZMP is also known as AICAR. The record is from RNAcentral. Lineage: Bacteria; Pseudomonadati; Pseudomonadota; Betaproteobacteria; Burkholderiales; Burkholderiaceae.
CACCGUUCGCGCGACUGGCGCUCAUACGAGGUGGAUCACCACCGGGAAACGCGAACCGAAACCGCAUCACCAGCGGCAUUCCGUCAAGCCGCGCGCCUGGGCCUUGCUG